CUUUCCUAGAAUUGUAGCAGCUUGAACAGCCAUGAAGAGAAGGUUCUUAUUAUCCGUGCAGGAGAUGAAGACUCUAUAGAAGUUAUGUAAUUGCUUGAUCCCUUCUCAUACUUUUUUUAUUACACAACAAUUGUGCCUAUUCCCACUAUAGUUAUUGUGGUUAUAUUUAUAUUACAUUUUAUGAUAAACUAACAGGCUGUAUGAAACCGUUCAAACAAUUGCAGGAGCUGUUAUUAUUGAUGGAGUAGUUGGACCGCCAUCAUGGAUGCACACCAGCUUAAUCUAGGGGUUGGAUACACUUGAAAGGCGGAUAAAAUGAUUAGAGGAUGAAUCAUCCCCCACAUGAUGCAGACGUGUUGAAGCUAUUCUACCCAUGCCACGAAGCUCAGGUGCCCAUUAUACUAUAGAUGACAUGAAGUAAUUUUAGUCUAUCGAGGAGCAUUUCAGUUGGGAAAUUCUGGAUUUCAUGUGUUUUAAUCAAAUGUGUAGUUUGUAAGUUGUAGGAAGAAAUUGGUCCACCCGCAAUGUAUAUAGCCCAAAACUAAUGUGAAUUUCCCACUGGGUUUAGAAGUACGAAUGUGAAUGAUUUAUAAUAUUCGAUCAAAAUGUUAGAUUUAUAAUGAAA
Molecule: long non-coding RNA, 625 nt
Organism: Carya illinoinensis
Lineage: Eukaryota; Viridiplantae; Streptophyta; Magnoliopsida; Fagales; Juglandaceae
Exons: 2
Source: RefSeq, a predicted model, not a curated record